AGAGCGAACGCUGGCGGCAGGCUUAACACAUGCAAGUCGAGCGGGCGUAGCAAUACGUCAGCGGCAGACGGGUGAGUAACGCGUGGGAACAUACCUUUUGGUUCGGAACAACCCGGGGAAACUUGGGCUAAUACCGGAUAAGCCCUUACGGGGAAAGAUUUAUCGCCGAAAGAUUGGCCCGCGUCUGAUUAGCUAGUUGGUGAGGUAACGGCUCACCAAGGCGACGAUCAGUAGCUGGUCUGAGAGGAUGAUCAGCCACAUUGGGACUGAGACACGGCCCAAAACUCCUACGGGAGGCAGCAGUGGGGAAUAUUGGACAAUGGGCGCAAGCCUGAUCCAGCCAUGCCGCGUGAGUGAUGAAGGCCCUAGGGUUGUAAAGCUCUUUUGUGCGGGAAGAUAAUGACGGUACCGCAAGAAUAAGCCCCGGCUAACUUCGUGCCAGCAGCCGC
Molecule: ribosomal RNA, 449 nt
Filed under: uncultured bacterium
Lineage: Bacteria
Description: SSU rRNA
Rfam family: Bacterial small subunit ribosomal RNA
Source: RNAcentral